CCUACCUCAGACAACACUGAACUAACUGGUACCUCAUCGACAUCAGAAAAUACGGAGAUAGCCAUAAAACGGCUACAGUAUGUGAAGCUGGGCUGCUUUGCUCACACACUCAGUCUAGCAGCACAAAGUCUCUACCUGACUGCAGUGACACAGUGGACUGCAAAGAUCCGUGCCUUUGUUGUGUGGACGAAGAGGUCCUCGAUGGCAAAGAUUGUUCUACGAGAGAAGCAAGAUCUCGUCAGUAAGAAUCUCUGAAUUAGUUUCAUUUGAUCAACUUUUUUAGUAAAGUACAUUUUGCAGGUUUUACAUUUUCUGAAAUAGUACAACAUAACAAAUUUGAUAUCUGAUGUGAGAACUAGGUGGAAUUCUCUUUACCUUAUGCUGGAGAGAUUCUUAGAGCAAUACCCUGCAAUUCAAGCAGCCAGCUUGGAUCAACAGCUGAGGAAGAAUAUGGAGAGGGACAGGUAGAAAUAGAUAGGAGAGAGAUUUUUUCUGAAUACAGAUAUCCAGUUCAAAGAACAUAUGCAUCCAACAGCAAAAACACACAAGAAUAUAACAAAACACUAAGCAGCUUAAGUUUAAGUUUAGUCAAUUUCAACUUUAAGUGGAGUCAAAAAGUCAACAGCACGAACAUGAAUAACAAUGAUUAAUUUUCCGACAAUGUAUCCUUUCUCAUGUAGACUUGCCUGGCUGAGUGAUGAAGACUUCAGGAAGGCAGAGGACUUUAUCAACUUGAUAAUAGUUCUUUACACUUCCACACUUUGCGUAUCAACUGAAAAGAGCACCACAUGUGGUCAGAUUCUGCCAAUUCUCCAAAAGCUUGAGAGGCAUUUUGCUGUUGUUGAGGGAGACACAGGAUUUUUAUCUAACCUCAAAAAGCAAGUUUGGACAAAGCUUUCCAAGCGAUACCAGCGAGCACAUCAGGAUCUUUCUUGAAGUGGCAACAGCAUUGGACCCACGCUUUAAACAAAAGAUGGAGAACAGUGCCAGUGUCUGGGACCAGAUCAAGAGAGAGAUGAUGACAGAAUCUGAGCAGUUUGUAUAGCAACCACCUCCCAGCAAACAACCAAGAAAGUCUCCAUUGGAAGAGCUUUUUGCCGAUGAGGAUGCACAAAAGAUGUCAUUAUAGCAGAGGAGGACCAUGUCCAUCCAGGACCAGGCAGAGAAGGAGAUGCAGAUGUAUAAGGAGACACCCCCAACCUUUACGGCCGAUGACCCUACUGCCUGGUGGUGGAACCAGCGCAAGACUUAUCCUUUAUUGUCAGCAUCUCAAAAACUGUAAAUCACCUUUGAAUCAA
Molecule: long non-coding RNA, 1298 nt
Organism: Micropterus dolomieu (smallmouth bass)
Lineage: Eukaryota; Metazoa; Chordata; Actinopteri; Centrarchiformes; Centrarchidae
Exons: 4
Source: RefSeq, a predicted model, not a curated record